Molecule: long non-coding RNA, 1244 nt
Filed under: Manihot esculenta (cassava)
Lineage: Eukaryota; Viridiplantae; Streptophyta; Magnoliopsida; Malpighiales; Euphorbiaceae
Description: long non-coding RNA (MESC_LNC003681)
Source: RNAcentral
AAAUAAGGUGAAAUCAUAACUUCUUUUCUUGCAACAACUCCAUUCUCUAAUUCCAUCAUGAAAUAUAGGCUGGAAAAUGCAUUCAAGAAAAGUGACAACAGCACAUCAAAAUUAGAGACAGAAGGAAGAUUUAACGAUGAAAAGGAACCGGAACUUCUGUUUGAAAAGAACUAAAUAAUCAGACUAAAGAUUUUGACUUACUCCCUGACAACACGUAUGUGCAGCAGCAGCCAUGCAUGGCCCAACAAUGUAAAGUGAAAAGAAGCUAAUUAGCAUAAUCCACAAUACAUUAUAUUCAGUAUUUAAUUACAAGGGUAAAUAGAAGCAUAAUGCAAGUAAUUGCUUCCAUGGAGGGAGCAAUUACAAAACAAAAGGAGGGAAAUGUCAUUGAUUGUGCUGGAAACUUAGAUUGAUGUAAAAAAACCAUUUCAACAAUUAAUAACGGAAAAGACAGAACCACCUACACAGUUCAAAGUGCACCGCUGCAUAGUAUAAAAUAUUAUAUAUAUAGAACCUCAACUCACAAACAGUUGAACAAAUAGUGCAUCGUAAUCUUUCAGAAUGAGUCUCUUGUAACCUAAGCUUUUAAAUCUCCAAAUAUUUCUUAGUGUUUUCUGCCGUGCUAUUCGAGGAACCUAACUCACAUGUCCACAUUGGGGGAUUUCUUCGCUGGACAACUUAGUCCAUGCAAAAGGGAAAUGACAGAUGUUACCAACAUCAUCUCAAAUUCUCAAUAGCUAGAUGUUAUGCAUCGAUUACAAAGUUGAUAAAACAAGUGAAUUAUGGCCAGCUACCAACUAGAUAGAGAAGAGAGAGCCAUAAAAAUUGAUCUCUACUUGUUAAUUAGAAGGCAACUAAAAAACGAUAAUUCUUGCCUAAUUAGGCGAUGUGGGAACUAAAACAUGGACAGCCAAAAUAAUGAACAUAAUAGCCGAGGACGAGAUCUAUCUAACAGAACUUUGCCAUAAACAUAGGAAGUCCUAAUUGAAACAGAAUAAUCCGUGACUCAUUAAUUAUCAACUAUCUGAAGCUCCACAAAAAUUUCAAUGAUCUCCAGAAAAAGAGAAGAAAAUGCAAUAAAAUUCAUACCGCAUCAUGAUAUUGACAGGAACCUUCGGGAUUAUCGUCUUCUGUGAAGGUGGCGUUGCAGCCGAUUCGGUGGCAACGGAGCUUAACAACCUCCUGCUCCAUUGUCUCCGUCUCUCAAGUCGCAGUCGGUGUUAGAAGACCGCGACGACUAUAAU